GCAAGCUGAGAAACGGCUAGCAAUCUAAGGAAGGCAGCAGGCGCGCAAAUUACGCAAUGACAGUACAAUGUCGACGUAGUGAAGAAAAAUAACGAUGUAGUUCUUAUUUACAAGAUCUACAAUUGGAAUGAGUACACUGUAAAUAUGUUAACGAGUAUCAAUUAGAGGGCAAGUCUGGUGCCAGCAGCCGCGGUAAUUCCAGCUCUAAUAGCGUAUAUUAAAGUUGUUGCGGUUAAAAAGCUCGUAGUUGGAUUUUUGGCUUUGCUCUUAAGUUAGGAUUAUCGUUAAGGUAGGUUUGGCUAUUAACAUGUCUUAUAUUCUAAUUCAUGGGUCACCUACUGAUAUUCUUUCACCUUAAAGCGGCCGUUUCGUCACUUUUAUAAGGUGCGAAACAUGCCUAUUCAAUACGUAUUCUAUACGUCUUGCUUAGGUAAGUUUACCUUGAGAAAAUUAGAGUGCUCAAAGCAGGCGAAUCGUAUGCCGCAAGGUGUGCAUUAAUGCUUGAAUAAUGUUGCAUGGAAUAAUAGAAUAUGGCCUCGGUUCUAUUCUGUUGGUCUUGUAAAACAACAAACAAGUUCGCUAAAUCUAACAAUGUUAUCUGUGGGGUGGCAUUAAUUCUGAUUAUUUUCGCCUAAUAUAUAUUGUAUGUUGCCUCACUCGCAAGGGUAAGUGCCAUCAAUUUUAUUUGGUCUUAAGUAGCCACGAAUCAUGCCCGUUAGAAAAGCUCAACAGUUAGCAAGAUUUGCGAAUCGAGGCAAUGGUUAAGAGGGAUAGACGGGGGCAUUCGUACUGCAUCGCUAGAG
RNAcentral lists this ribosomal RNA (803 nucleotides) under Nalepella tsugifoliae. RNAcentral describes it as "bacterial SSU rRNA". It matches the Rfam family "Eukaryotic small subunit ribosomal RNA", at positions 390 to 910 of the family's 1831-position model. Lineage: Eukaryota; Metazoa; Arthropoda; Arachnida; Trombidiformes; Phytoptidae. The record is from RNAcentral.